This 253-nucleotide ribosomal RNA is filed under the name uncultured bacterium. RNAcentral's name for it is "partial 16S ribosomal RNA". It matches the Rfam family "Bacterial small subunit ribosomal RNA", at positions 524 to 776 of the family's 1533-position model. The record is from RNAcentral. RNAcentral also lists the same sequence under 2 other names.
CACGUAGGGCGCAAGCGUUGUCCGGAAUUAUUGGGCGUAAAGAGCUCGUAGGCGGUCUGUUGCGUCCGCUGUGAAAACUCGGGGCUUAACCCCGAGCCUGCAGUGGAUACGGGCAGACUAGAGGUAGGUAGGGGAGAAUGGAAUUCCCGGUGUAGCGGUGAAAUGCGCAGAUAUCGGGAGGAACACCGGUGGCGAAGGCGGUUCUCUGGGCCUUACCUGACGCUGAGGAGCGAAAGCGUGGGGAGCGAACAGG